UUUGCGAUAUACAGUAAGCGGCCAAGCGAAAGCAUUAAGUAUUCCACCUGGGGAGUACGCCGGCAACGGUGAAACUCAAAGGAAUUGACGGGGGCCCGCACAAGCGGAGGAACAUGUGGUGUAAUUCGAUGAUACGCGAGGAACCUUACCCGGGCUUAAAUUGCAGUGGAAUGAUGUGGAAACAUGUCAGUGAGCAAUCACAGCUGUGAAGGUGCUGCAUGGUUGUCGUCAGCUCGUGCCGUGAGGUGUUGGCUUAAGUGCCAUAACGAGCGCAACCCUUAUCUUUAGUUACUAACAGGUCAUGCUGAGGACUCUAGAGAGACUGCCGUCGUAAGAUGUGAGGAAGGUGGGGAUGACGUCAAAUCAGCACGGCCCUUACGUCCGGGGCUACACACGUGUUACAAUGGGGGGUACAGAAGGCAGCUAGCGGGUGACCGUAUGCUAAUCCCAAAAUCCUCUCUCAGUUCGGAUCGAAGUCUGCAACCCGACUUCGUGAAGCUGGAUUCGCUAGUAAUCGCGCAUCAGCCACGGCGCGGUGAAUACGUUCCCGGGCCUUGUACACACCGCCCGUCAAGCCAUGGGAGCCGGGGGUACCUGAAGUACGUAACCGCAAGGAUCGUCCUAGGGUAAAACUGGUGACUG
This 642-nucleotide ribosomal RNA is filed under the name uncultured organism. RNAcentral describes it as "SSU rRNA". It matches the Rfam family "Bacterial small subunit ribosomal RNA", at positions 823 to 1477 of the family's 1533-position model. The record is from RNAcentral.